Cucumis melo (muskmelon) is the source of this 1374-nucleotide long non-coding RNA. RefSeq lists it as uncharacterized. The record is from RefSeq and is a predicted model, not a curated record. Lineage: Eukaryota; Viridiplantae; Streptophyta; Magnoliopsida; Cucurbitales; Cucurbitaceae. The transcript has 2 exons.
AAAAACAUCGUCAUAAAGCCCCCCCCCCCCCCCCCCCCCCCCGACGAUUUUCCCCCUUUCUCACACAGAUCGGCUGACACCUUCCCCCAUGCGAUUUCACUCCUUUUUCCCACAGUGAUAUCAUUGCCCCUUCUCCCACAGUCGUUGCCACUCCCCUUCUCCCAUAGUCGCGCCCCACUUUCUCCUACAGUCGCCGUACACAGCCGCCCCCUACGAUUUCCCCUCCUUGUGCCCAACUCCCCUCUCGUCGCAGUAGCUCUCCUGACGGUGCCCUUGUCUUCUCACCGUAAUCGUCGUCGAUGCUAUCCUUCGUACGCUCGCCAAAGUUUGGGAGGUGAAUGUAGACAGAAGAAGAUUGUGCAUCAAAAAGAACACAGAACCAUGAAUUCUAUAAAUAAGUACCUCAAGUUGGUUCACUUUGCGAAUCCAAUAAAGCUAUACACCCGUGAGAGAGAUGUUCAGCCCUAGAUGGCUAGAUUUCACAUCAUUUGACACCAAAUGCUUGAGCGUAUGUCUGAUUAAACUCUUCACCGCUCUUCAAUAGGCAAAGACUGGAUUUUAUUCAAGAACACCAUAAAUAAAAAGGAAAAACAAAACAAAAACAAUGAUUCACUCAAAUAGAUUGAUUCGGUUUUCUAGGAUUCUUUUGAAGCAGAAUAAAAAGGCAACUAUCACGAAUUUGACUAGCAUUUAACAUUAGAAGCAAUAGGAGCAGAAACUUUACAACGGCGUUCUUGGAGCACUACAUACAGGAGAGAAAUUAAGGGUUUUUUGUUGCAGUGCAGAAAGUAAGAGAGAAUUUCGAAAGGAGUGGGCUUUAUAGACAUUAAGGAUGAUGUAUAAUUGCUCGUUGUUCUUGAAGACUUCGGCAAAUGAGUCAGUAUCAAUCAGCAUUGAGGAUGGUCAUGGGCCCAUGACAGCAGAAUGCUUCCAUCUUGGAGGCUCGCAUUGUCGUUGGAGAUGAAGGCGAUGCAGUCAACCAUGUUGAGGAUGAGGCUAGAAUUUUGUUUGCAGUAGAGACAAUGGAGGAAACGACAGCCAAGGCAACCAUAAUGAAGAGACUAAGAGAAGCUUGCCAUUUCCAAGGGGAAAGAGAGAGUGAAAUGAAAAGGGAAAUGCCAAUGGGGAAAGGAGAAGGAGAAGCGGGGAAAUGCGUAACAAGGAGAAGAGGCUGGGUAAAGGGCUUCACGCAAAAUUAAAAUUAAAUGAGAGGAAAAUGUAAAUUUCAACUAGCGCCUAAAUUUUCUACAUUUUUUCAAUAGCUGUUUUUUUUUCCUUUUUUGGUAACCAAGUGCUAUUGUUGUUGUAGUGUCUGUUUGCAACCAAUAAGACUGAUAAAUCCCCUAACUAAUUACCGAUACACUCUUCAUAACA